Molecule: long non-coding RNA, 280 nt
Filed under: Vigna radiata
Lineage: Eukaryota; Viridiplantae; Streptophyta; Magnoliopsida; Fabales; Fabaceae
Description: long non-coding RNA (VRAD_LNC013813)
Source: RNAcentral
CUAUCAUUCUAAAGUCCGGAUGAGUCAAGUCUAGAAGAUAACAUGCUAGGAUCUGUGUAUAUAUUGCCUUGCUUGUAUGUACUUUGCUUGAGUUGAAUCCAGUAGGUAUAUGUUGAUAUAAUUGCAUUUUUUUUUUAUAUAAUUAGCUCACCCUUGCAUUUGCUCGUGUUUGUGCCAUGUUUGCGUUUGUUUUCUUUUGCGAUGAUCAUCCACUUGGAUGGUAGCAGAUGGAGAGGAGGUUUCUUUGGACAUAGCCUUGGAAGGAGACGACAAUGCUGCA